AUGGCCUCCACCAAGAGCUGGGCGCACGAGAUCGAGGCGUCCGUGGCGGCGCCACGCCUGUUCCGCGCCGGCGUCAUGGACUGGCACACGCUGGCGCCCAAGCUCGCCCCGCAGGUCGUCGCCAGCGCCCACCCCGUCGAGGGCGAGGGCGGCGUCGGCAGCGUCAGGCAGUUCAACUUCACCUCAGCCAUGCCCUUCAGCGUCGUGAAGGAGAGGCUCGACUUCCUGGACGCGGACGGGUGCGAGUGCCGGUCGACCCUCCUCGAGGGCGGGCACGUCGGCACGGUGAUCGAGACGUCCACGUCGUGCAUCAAGGUGGAGCCGGCGGCCGGCGGCGGCAGCGUCGUCAAGGUGGAGUCCACGUACAAGCUGCUGCCGGGCGUGGAGGAGGGCGAGUACGAGGUCGCCAAGGCCAAGGAGUCCGUCACCGCCAUCUUCAAGGCCGCCGAGGCGUACCUCAUCGCCAACCCGGACGCCUACAACUGA
RNAcentral lists this ribosomal RNA (486 nucleotides) under Triticum aestivum (bread wheat). RNAcentral describes it as "partial small subunit ribosomal RNA". The record is from RNAcentral. Lineage: Eukaryota; Viridiplantae; Streptophyta; Magnoliopsida; Poales; Poaceae.